UACGGGGGGGGGCAAGCGUUGUUCGGAAUUACUGGGCGUAAAGGGCUCGUAGGUGGCCAACUAAGUCAGACGUGAAAUCCCUCGGCUUAACCGGGGAACUGCGUCUGAUACUGGAUGGCUUGAGUUUGGGAGAGGGAUGCGGAAUUCCAGGUGUAGCGGUGGAAUGCGUAGAGAUCCGGAAGAACACCGGUGGCGAAGGCGGCCUGCUGGGCAGUGGCUGACACUGGAGGCGCGACAGCGUGGGGAGCAA
RNAcentral lists this ribosomal RNA (250 nucleotides) under uncultured bacterium. Its description in RNAcentral is "partial 16S ribosomal RNA". It matches the Rfam family "Bacterial small subunit ribosomal RNA", at positions 524 to 771 of the family's 1533-position model. The record is from RNAcentral.